RNAcentral lists this long non-coding RNA (2126 nucleotides) under Homo sapiens (human). RNAcentral's name for it is "HSALNT0319610". Lineage: Eukaryota; Metazoa; Chordata; Mammalia; Primates; Hominidae. The record is from RNAcentral.
GCGAGCAGGAUUCAGACACCAGGAACCCUCCGGUCCCACUGGCCACGUGCUCAGGGCUGGGUAAUUUCCUCCCGCUCAAGGGUAGGAACAUACCUGCGCUUAAAACUGAGGCUGCCGCACCUCCGCAGACGUAGACAACGAAUUCCUGGAGCCCAAGGUCGGCCGGGGUUGGGUUCCUGUCGCCGCACGCGUGGCCCGCCCGAAACCCGCUACAAAGUAGCGGCGUGUCUGCCCUAGGGAGGCAAAGCGCAAACUUGUUACCGCGCCGGGACCUGCCCCGGGAUUCUCCCAGCGGCUCCGCAGGACGCAGCGCCUGUGCCUCGCGCGGCCCUGGGACGGGCACGGCCGUCCGCCCCCUGGGCCGCCGAGGGCUGCUUUACCCCUCCGUUCUGGCCGCGGGCAGCAGAGGAGCUCGGGGCGGGCAAAGCUCGAGGGGACACGGGGCGAGCCCAGACCCUGCCUGGGAGCCCUCCCCGCCGGAGACCAAAGGGCAGAAACGCACUCACAGUGCAACUCCGAGGGAUAAACUGGCCGACGAUCGCCGCCAGGCCAGAAGACCAAGAAGAAGGCUCGCGGCGGGAACUGAAGUAUUCAGCACGCCUUCAUCAGGUGUGUACUCUGUGCCAGGCAAUCUUCUAAUCCUUAAAUGGACGAAACAAAGGCCUCCCUUGGACUGACAUUUUUAAUGAAGAAUAAAAACCCAUAAUGAAAUAUAAAAAUAUUAACGUUAUAAGAGCUAAGGGAAAAAACAUGUGUUACAACUUGAAAAUACAAAAAUAGGAAAUCAUCUUUCUCUGUGGACGAAUGAAACCCCUGAUUCUAAGAAACAAAGAAACAAAACUCAUCAUGACUGGUGUUCUGUACUCUUUGGAAAAUACGUUUUACUGUAGAAAUGACUAAAUGCGAUGAAAGACUCUUUACCAGAAGCAGUGGCUGGUUGGCGGCGCCUGUACGCCUGAGGAGCACCCUUUUUGUGUCCAUGUUUGAUAAAGCAGAAGAGACCUAAAGAGACAAGGGGCGGCCGGGCGCGGUGGCUCACUCCUGUAAUCCCAGCACUUUGGGAGGCCGAGGCGGGCAGAUCAUCUGAGAUCGGGAGUUCGAGACCAGCCUGACCAACAUGGAGAAACCCCGUCUAUACUAAAAAUACACAAUUAACCGGUUAUAGUGGCGCAUGCCUGUAAUGCCAGCUACUUGGGAGGCUGAAGCAGGAAAAUCGCUUGAGGCAGAGGUUGCGGUGAACCGAGACUGCGCUAUUGCACUCCAGCGGGCAACAAGAGCCAAACUCUGUCUCAAAAACAAACAAACAAACAAACAAACAAAAAAAAAACCACAAGGGCCAUCGCUCUGGGGCGUGGGACAUAUGGUCCGCAGUUGGGAUACUAACUGUUGUAUGGAUGGGGGAGUGGUCCUCAAACCCUGGAGCUUCUCAGUCCCUGCCUCUUUCAACCUCUAAAUGGGCCCACUGCUUUUCCCUUCCCACUGUUCUGCCGGCUGGAGCACCCCCAGCACCAGCAGCGCGGCUCCCACGCCUCUGGUCUGGGCUCUGCCAGCCCCACGGGUCUAAGCUCUCCCCAGGCCAUUAUUUUUUGUCUCCUCUUUCUUCAUUGAGGUCCUCUCUCUGUCACUUGCUCUUUUGCCUGGCUCAAGACAUGGGUUUAAACACUGUUUAUACUACCCCUUGCUAAUGUUGACUCACUACCCCAUAUCUUUUUCUUUUUUCUUUUUUUUUCCAAGUAGCACUCUUUGAGAUGUCCUUUUAUUGAUGUUUCUUUACACGUUGUUUUUACAUGCAUUACAGUGUGAUGAACAUAUCCAUCCACUGAAAUAACAUUAUUCUCAACUACGCAAAAGAAAGCAAUACUCUUAGAAGAAUCCUUUCUGCAUAUGUCUUUAGACACUUUUACAUUCAUAACACUGGUCACCAACCCAUUUCUAUGUUUAAGUAACUUGACUUUUUCUCCUUCUCCCUUUCUCUACCUAUUAAAUUCACAUUUUAUUUUACCCCAAGCUACUUUUACCUAGUACAGUGUCUAUGUUUUUCACUGUAAGAUUGAGUAAGGCCAGAGAUGAGGAGAAUAGUGAUUGUGAAAUAAAAUGAAAGAUAUACUCAAUUCUUGGGAGCAAUA